GCGCGAUUCACAGCGUAUCACAACACCGCCAGCCUUCAGGCGCACAAGACGAACACGAUAGCGUACCGCAGCUCCGGGCGUUUGACGUUUAUCUCCCGACGGCUGCAAAGCGAAGAGGGUCUCGACAUUUGAGGCGCUACACUUCCGUGUGAGUAACUUUCCGAGAGGUUCCGCAUCUGUACAGGACCGCUGACUUGUUUGUGAGCUACUGAGCAAAACUUUCUUCGUUAAAGGGAAGAAGCCCCAGAUUGUGGCUAAGCCGCUUCUUCCAGAG
Schistocerca cancellata (South American locust) is the source of this 274-nucleotide long non-coding RNA. RefSeq lists it as uncharacterized. The transcript is spliced from 4 exons. NCBI's taxonomy places the organism in Eukaryota, Metazoa, Arthropoda, Insecta, Orthoptera, Acrididae. The record is from RefSeq and is a predicted model, not a curated record.